Molecule: long non-coding RNA, 511 nt
Organism: Malaclemys terrapin pileata
Lineage: Eukaryota; Metazoa; Chordata; Testudines; Emydidae
Exons: 2
Source: RefSeq, a predicted model, not a curated record
UCCACCUCUUCCCCCUCCUCUCCCCCGGCCGUUCCAUACUUUUGUUUUUCUGAAGUUUUAGUGGAGGGGACUUUGGAUACUUAUGUGAAAUGUUUUUGGUGGUUUGUUUUGUUUGGGACAAAGUACGACGGAGGUCUGCUGUAGUCCACUGGAAUUUUUGGAGUAACAGAUCCAUGGGCAACCAUGGAGACAAAUGUUUUACUGCCUUUUGAACAGUCUCAAGACACUCUACAAGCGUGCUGGCGCCAGUGAAAGAAUAACCCAGAAUACUAUGAAUCUAUGUUUUGCGUUGUUUGUCUGUGGUGUUUGUCUUGUUGCUAGCAUGACGUGGGUGGGGGAUGGCUUCAAAAGGCUGACAGGGGUGGAAAAUGUGUACGAAAACGCAAAAUGCUCAACGAGGAGGCCAGCACCUGUGUAACAGCUACCAUGGUACCUGAAAAUAGAACGGCAACUAAAAUGAUGCUUGCUAAAAGUUUACCCCAAUAAACAUCAAAUUGUUUGCGCCUUUGAA